Molecule: small RNA, 274 nt
Filed under: Pongo abelii (Sumatran orangutan)
Lineage: Eukaryota; Metazoa; Chordata; Mammalia; Primates; Hominidae
Description: retained intron
Source: RNAcentral
GUGGUGUCAGAGUUUGGGGACAGCUACUUUGAGGUCAGUGGCUGAGAUGCCUUGGUGGGAAGGAGGACAGAACUGGGGCUUUCCAGGCUGCAUAAUCACCCUGUCCCUGUCCCCAGGAGCUCCGGCAGCAGCUGGGGCACCGCCUGCAGCUGAACGACCUCCUCAUCAAACCUGUGCAGCGGAUCAUGAAAUACCAGCUGCUGCUCAAGGAUUUUCUCAAGUAUUACAAUAGAGCUGGGAUGGAUACUGCAGAGCUAGAGGUGAGGACCCCAGA